UUGGGAGCUUGUGUAAUCAGUAUGUGCAAUCCUUUGUGGAAGGGCUCAAAUAAAUAGAACAAUUGUCAAGUCAUACUUGGAAUGCUAAAUGUCCAUACAUGUAUGAAUCAAUAUUUAUUCUGUUGUCAAUGUCAUAAAAGAAGAAAAGGGACUCUAGGAGUUAGUGGAGAAUUAAAGUAGCUGCUUGUCAAACCAGAGCAAAAUUUUAUUUUUCUAGGUCACUAUUGUUCCUAUUUCUGGCUUAAGGUUCAAAGCUUGCUAGACUGAUUCAUAGUCUGUUACUUCUCUAUAUUUGUUCUCUGGGCAGUAAGUCCCUCUAUGAGGAAUAUUACUUGUAUACUAUGUAUUAUUUGUUACAUCACACAAAAGAAUAUCCUUUUCAGCCUUUUGCUCUUGUUUCUCUCAAUUUCAUCUGUAGUUUAUCCAUAAUUUAAAAAUGUAUUCCAUACUCAAUGCAAUUCAAUAUCAAAAGCAUCAAGAAACCCUUUAUCUAACUGCUAUUUGUGUCCCCCAAAA
This 516-nucleotide unclassified non-coding RNA is filed under the name Hevea brasiliensis (rubber tree). The record is from RNAcentral. Lineage: Eukaryota; Viridiplantae; Streptophyta; Magnoliopsida; Malpighiales; Euphorbiaceae.